AAUCGCUCAUAACUCGAAGGAUAUAAUAUGUACUUAGCUAAAAAGGCUUUUAUGAUCGAAACACUUCCAAGUUUGUGUGCUAAACAAUGUCAAAAGGUCAUUUAACUUAAUGUGGAUGCUAGUUGGUUCCAGCUGGAUGGUAGGGCUACUGUGGCUGCGGUGUUGCGGGAUCAUGAUGGUAUUUUCUUGGCAGUUCAUAAGCUUUCUCUUGUGGCUAGAUCAGUGGUGUUUGCGGAGGCAAUGGCAAUGCUUAGAGGUUGUGAACUAGCAGCGGAGCUGGGUUUUAGGUGGGUUGAGGCAGAAUCUAAAUCGCUUGAGAUGAUCGUUUCCUUACAGGGUGAUAUUUCUAAGGGCAGUUGGCAAGUGUUUCCAAUCUUAGAUGCUAUUUUGAGUUUGGGGAACUCUUUUCAGGGCUGUCGUUGGUCUUGGGUUCCAAGAUCGGCCAAUCAGUCGGCGAACCAUCUGGCGUCGAGGAAAAACAUGGAGAUGUGCAGCACCACUUGGGUCAAAAGACCCCCUAUCUUCAUUGAUUCACAUUCUCAACAAGGAUGGGCUUCCUUGCCCUCUGUAAUUGUUUUUUGUUUUUGUGGGUGUGCGUUGGGUUGACAUUUUGCCUUUGUGGUAGCGUCUUUUCUCUGUUAUCCCUCUCACGACCCUUUUCUUUGUUUUGCUAUGUUUGCCCCUUUGGUGGGCUUUCUUU
Malus domestica (apple) is the source of this 700-nucleotide non-coding RNA. The record is from RefSeq and is a predicted model, not a curated record. Lineage: Eukaryota; Viridiplantae; Streptophyta; Magnoliopsida; Rosales; Rosaceae.